UGGGGAAUAUUGCGCAAUGGGCGAAGGCCUGACGCAGCAACGCCGCGUGAGUGAUGAAGGCCUUCGGGUCGUAAAGCUCUGUCGGAGGGAACGAAUGCUCCUGAAGUUAACAGCCUCAGGAGGUGACGGUACCCUCAAAGGAAGCACCGGCUAACUCUGUGCCAGCAGCCGCGGUAAUACAGAGGGUGCAAGCGUUGUUCGGAUUUACUGGGCGUAAAGGGCGCGUAGGCGGUGUGUCAAGUCAGUUGUGAAAUCUCCGAGCUUAACUCGGAACGGUCAACUGAUACUGUCACACUAGAGUACAGAAGGGGCAAUCGGAAUUCUUGGUGUAGCGGUGAAAUGCGUAGAUAUCAAGAGGAACACCUGAGGCGAAGGCGGGUUGCUGGGCUGAUACUGACGCUGAGGCGCGAAAGCUAGGGUAGCAAACGGGAUUAGAUACCCCAGUAGUCCCUGAGCGGGCUGGCAAGGCGCAU
This 473-nucleotide ribosomal RNA is filed under the name uncultured bacterium. RNAcentral's name for it is "bacterial SSU rRNA". It matches the Rfam family "Bacterial small subunit ribosomal RNA", at positions 355 to 825 of the family's 1533-position model. The record is from RNAcentral.